UUUAGUAGGGAUCGCCAUCCGUCAGCGCGUUGCGCCCACGGGUGUCGUUGUG
This 52-nucleotide small RNA is filed under the name Falsihalocynthiibacter arcticus. RNAcentral's name for it is "Halocynthiibacter arcticus ffh sRNA". It matches the Rfam family "ffh sRNA". The record is from Rfam by way of RNAcentral. Lineage: Bacteria; Pseudomonadati; Pseudomonadota; Alphaproteobacteria; Rhodobacterales; Roseobacteraceae.